UCCAGCAAGGAUUUUCACAAAAGUAGAAUGGCUAGGUCAUCUGUCUCCCCUGCCACUUCCUAUGGCCAGCCAGAAGAUUCUCUCAACAAAGAUAUUAUCUCUAUUUUUGAGAAAGGCAUGAAAAAACAUACCGAUAACCUAAUGCGCUUUCUUGAAGGGAUCAGCUCACGGAUGUCUCAAUUGGAAUUGUAUUGCUACAACCUUGACAAAUCAAUUGGAGAAAUGCGAUCUGA
This 233-nucleotide unclassified non-coding RNA is filed under the name Hevea brasiliensis (rubber tree). Lineage: Eukaryota; Viridiplantae; Streptophyta; Magnoliopsida; Malpighiales; Euphorbiaceae. The record is from RNAcentral.